AGGAUUGGAGUCCCUUUGGAAUUGAGAAUAUUGGUCUUGAUAAUGAGGUUGAUUUGAUUUCUCAAUAAUUGUGGUGGGUUUUGGCCAUUGUAUUUCCAAGAAAAAUUUGGAUGGUUUCUCCAACCUGUAUUAUAUCUGUUGGAAUAAGGGUCAUUCAAAGGAUGCAUGGGUUGGUAAGAAUUCAUCAAAUUUGUUUGGUUAUACAUAU
Molecule: long non-coding RNA, 208 nt
Filed under: Ricinus communis (castor bean)
Lineage: Eukaryota; Viridiplantae; Streptophyta; Magnoliopsida; Malpighiales; Euphorbiaceae
Description: long non-coding RNA (RCOM_LNC001585)
Source: RNAcentral